This 438-nucleotide ribosomal RNA is filed under the name uncultured bacterium. Its description in RNAcentral is "bacterial SSU rRNA". It matches the Rfam family "Bacterial small subunit ribosomal RNA", at positions 338 to 794 of the family's 1533-position model. The record is from RNAcentral.
CCUACGGGGGGCAGCAGUGGGGAAUAUUGCACAAUGGGCGCAAGCCUGAUGCAGCAACGCCGCGUGAGCGAUGAAGGUCUUCGGAUCGUAAAGCUCUGUCGCAUGGGAAGAUAAUGACGGUACCAUGUGAGGAAGCCCCGGCUAACUACGUGCCAGCAGCCGCGGUAAUACGUAGGGGGCAAGCGUUAUCCGGAAUUACUGGGCGUAAAGGGUGCGUAGGUGGCCUGACAAGUCAGGGGUCAAAGGCAACGGCUCAACCGUUGUAAGCCUUUGAAACUGUCGGGCUUGAGUUCUGGAGGGGAAAUCGGAAUUCCUAGUGUAGCGGUGAAAUGCGUAGAUAUUAGGAGGAACACCGGUGGCGAAGGCGGAUUUCUGGACAGAUACUGACACUGAGGCACGAAAGCGUGGGGAGCAAACAGGAUUAGAUACCCUGGUAGU